Molecule: ribosomal RNA, 226 nt
Filed under: uncultured bacterium
Lineage: Bacteria
Description: partial 16S ribosomal RNA
Rfam family: Bacterial small subunit ribosomal RNA
Source: RNAcentral
GAUGAACGCUGGCGGCGUGCUUAACACAUGCAAGUCGAACGAAGCACUUUACUUGAUUUUCUUCGGAACUGAUUGUACUGUGACUGAGUGGCGGACGGGUGAGUAACGCGUGGAUAACCUGCCUCACACAGGGGAGUAACAGUGGUAACGGACUGCUAAUAACCGCCGAUAAGACGGCACAGCACCGCAUGGUGGCAGUGUGAAAACUACCGGUGGUGUGAGAUGG